ACUGUGGACGUCCCUUUGUAUCGCUGUGACGACACGAUAGCGGGGAAACUAUCCGAAAACAGUCGUGUGCCGUUGGAAUUUCUCCGUCGUUUUGCCGAGACGUCAGUUGAACAGGACAGGCAGCUGGGCUACUUCGGAACUUUCCUGGUUCUUGUUUGUUGUACCAACGUAUCAGGAGGCGCUGAAGGAUUAAAGCAGCCCCGGUGGUGACGACUGCAGCUGGUGAAACAAAACGUGGGAAUACGGGGUGAGAUUUUCGUGAGGAAUGCGCCAGGGAAUCUGCGUGUUACGAUCGGUGGAUGGUACAUGUAACGUUACGACCGUGUCUUGUGUGAACCGGGGAUGGUACCGUACCGGAUAGCGCCGUGACACGGGAACGUUCGGAUAUCGCCUAGUCUGACCACAAACGGAAGUUACUUCAUUCGGCCUCCAGGACAUCUAGAGUGAAGACACUACCUGGACAGCGAGAAUGAGAUACCAGCUGCUGACUGCGGUGUUCCUGUGCUGGGUGGGAGCGCUGACAACGGGACAGGAUUACGACCACAAUAGAUUCUACCGCCCGCGUCCCGAGUACGGCGCUGCUCAGCCGGCCCGGGUGCAGGGGGAGGGGGGCAGUGCCCGGGUGCAGGGGGA
Molecule: long non-coding RNA, 633 nt
Organism: Branchiostoma belcheri (Belcher's lancelet)
Lineage: Eukaryota; Metazoa; Chordata; Leptocardii; Amphioxiformes; Branchiostomatidae
Exons: 4
Source: RefSeq, a predicted model, not a curated record